Molecule: ribosomal RNA, 322 nt
Filed under: uncultured eukaryote
Lineage: Eukaryota
Description: partial 18S ribosomal RNA
Rfam family: Eukaryotic small subunit ribosomal RNA
Source: RNAcentral
CCCUUAGAUGUUCUUGGCCGCACGCGUGCUACACUGAGUGGAUCAGCGGGUCAGGUUGCGCGAAAGCGUUUCCUAAUCUUGAAAUCCGCUCGUGAUGGGGAUUGACGGUUGCAAUUUUCUGUCAUGAACGAGGAAUACCUUGUAAGCGCGAGUCAUCAUCCCGCGCUGAAUACGUCCCUGCCCUUUGUACACACCGCCCGUCGCUCCUACCGAUUGAGUGGUCCGGUGAGGCUUUGGGAUCUGAGCGGAAAGAGCGUUUCGCUCGUUCUGCCCGGAAAACUCAGUCGAACCUUAUCAUUUAGAGGAAGGAGAAGUCGUAACA